Mycena crocata is the source of this 83-nucleotide non-coding RNA. Lineage: Eukaryota; Fungi; Basidiomycota; Agaricomycetes; Agaricales; Mycenaceae. The record is from the annotation of a GenBank genome assembly.
GCAACCAUGGUGCAGUGGUUAUUGUGUACCGCCUCUGGGAGACGUCCCGAGGGGUGGUCGUGGGUUCGAUUCCCGCGGAUGCA